Molecule: ribosomal RNA, 357 nt
Filed under: Planiliza macrolepis (largescale mullet)
Lineage: Eukaryota; Metazoa; Chordata; Actinopteri; Mugiliformes; Mugilidae
Description: partial large subunit ribosomal RNA
Rfam family: Bacterial large subunit ribosomal RNA
Source: RNAcentral
CAGGAACUCAGAUCAUGUAAUCUACCUCCAUAAAAUAAGUAAUAACUAUUGAAUCCUGUUCCACCUGUCUUCGGUUGGGGCGACCACGGGGAAUAAAAAAUCCCCCAUGUGGACCAGGAGCACAUACUCCUACAACCAUGAGCCACAGCUCUAAUGCACAAAACAUUUGACCAUUAGAUCCGGCAAAGCCGAUUAACGGACCAAGUUACCCUAGGGAUAACAGCGCAAUCCCCUUUAAGAGUUCAUAUCGACAAGGGGGUUUACGACCUCGAUGUUGGAUCAAGACAUCCUAAUGGUGCAGCCGCUAUUAAGGGUUCGUUUGUUCAACGAUUAAAGUCUUACAUGAUCUGAGUUCAG